RNAcentral lists this long non-coding RNA (409 nucleotides) under Rattus norvegicus (Norway rat). Its description in RNAcentral is "long non-coding RNA NONRATT019671". Lineage: Eukaryota; Metazoa; Chordata; Mammalia; Rodentia; Muridae. The record is from RNAcentral.
CAACUAGAAGUCCUUGUGUUCAGUCUAGCAAUAAACCCAUCAAAGAUGCUCCUCGCUUUGAUUGCGGCUUUCUGGCUGUUUUGUCUUUGUUUGUUUAUUCAUAUUUUGAGACUGGGUGUGGUGGUUUGAAUGAGAAUGGCCCCCUUGCGCUCAUACGCGCAUAUAUUUGAAUGCUUGGUUCUGUUAACGGAACUAUUUGGGAAAGAUUAGGAGGUGGGGCCUUGUUACCGGAGGUGUGUCACUGGGGAUGGGCCUUGAGGUUAUCCUUGUGCCUGUUGUCUGUAGAUCAGGAUUUAAAGCUUCCAGCUCCGUAUCUGCUGCCUAGCGCCAUGCUUCCUGCCUUGAUGGUAAUGAACUAACCUUCUGAAAGUGUAAAGAAGGCCCUAAUUAAAUGCUUCCUUUCAUCAGA